RNAcentral lists this ribosomal RNA (305 nucleotides) under uncultured bacterium. RNAcentral describes it as "bacterial SSU rRNA". It matches the Rfam family "Bacterial small subunit ribosomal RNA", at positions 334 to 654 of the family's 1533-position model. The record is from RNAcentral.
AUAGCCUACGGGGGGCAGCAGUGGGGGAUAUUGCACAAUGGGGGAAACCCUGAUGCAGCGACGCCGCGUGGGCGAAGAAGUAUUUCGGUAUGUAAAGCCCUAUCAGCAGGGAAGAAGAAAUGACGGUACCUGAGUAAGAAGCACCGGCUAAAUACGUGCCAGCAGCCGCGGUAAUACGUAUGGUGCAAGCGUUAUCCGGAUUUACUGGGUGUAAAGGGAGCGUAGACGGCAGCGCAAGUCUGGAGUGAAAUGCCGGGGCUCAACCCCGGAACUGCUUUGGAAACUGUGCAGCUAGAGUGCGGGAG